This 219-nucleotide small RNA is filed under the name Aeromonas hydrophila. Its description in RNAcentral is "SgrS RNA". It matches the Rfam family "SgrS RNA". From Rfam's summary of the family: In sugar transport-related sRNA (SgrS) is induced under conditions of glucose phosphate stress in E.coli. This small RNA acts to negatively regulate the translation and stability of the ptsG mRNA, which encodes the major glucose transporter in E. coli. SgrS forms a specific ribonucleoprotein complex with RNAse E and the chaperone Hfq and acts by base pairing with the ptsG mRNA. Lineage: Bacteria; Pseudomonadati; Pseudomonadota; Gammaproteobacteria; Aeromonadales; Aeromonadaceae. The record is from RNAcentral.
CAUGAGCCACGCCAACCCCAUCAAACCGAACCGGAUCCAGCAGAUCCUGCGCCGUUACUUCAAGCGGAUCCUGCCCAGGCCGCUGACUCUGAUCGAGGAUCCCAUGAGCCAGCUCAACCGCCUGAUGCAGUGGGACAUGCAGCAGAUCGACGAUCGGGAGUAUCGCCGCCGCCUCUGAGCGAUCCCCCUCGCCCGGAUCGCGCAAGGGAGGGCGCAGUU